This 1629-nucleotide long non-coding RNA is filed under the name Homo sapiens (human). RNAcentral's name for it is "HSALNT0337051". The record is from RNAcentral. Lineage: Eukaryota; Metazoa; Chordata; Mammalia; Primates; Hominidae.
CACGUCCAGCUCAGUUUGGUUUUGAUUUCCAUUUCACAACUCUGAUAUAGUGCGUUUGUUACUCAGCUAUGUAACUUUAUAUUUGAAUAUCCAUUAAUUGACUUUGACAUCACCCCAAGCUUUGCCCUCCACUCUUAAUUUAGGAUCCAAUAUUUACCUACUACUUUAGUUCUUACCUAGGUUUUGGUCCUGCUGUAUCCUGACAUAUCUAGGGAAAGCCACAUGCAAAAACGAAUACUGCAGGUAAACACUCCAGCCAUUAUCCAAAGGUCAUAUUUUACAGAUGUGCUCUGUGUGGAACUGGAAAUUGAUCUGCAUUCAUUUUUCAGACACCUCUGCAUAUAUAACAGUGUUGGUACCUAGUAAUUUCCCGAGCAAGAGACAGCUGAUAAUCAAAGUGUUUGGACUGCUCCUGCCUGACAGAACUGUGAGAUAUGGUCUCCACAUCUAGGUACUAAGUAUCUGACCAGAUAGAUUGUUGAGGUAGUUCUACUCAGGGUACUAUGAUGCAGGUCUGGAAUUUACUUCUCUUUGUGAUGUUAACCAUCACCCAACCAUGGGACCACUGGUGUGAGUCUUUCCACCUUUCUAAGGUUCACUCCCUCAUUAGCAUCUCAUCCUAAGGACACCUUCUACCUCCUUGUCCUCUAAGCAAUGCUUUUCAAACCCUACAGACCAGUGCCUGCAUCAGAAUAAUGAGGAAGGGCUUUUGGAAUACUAUGCAGCCAUGUCCCUCUGCAGGGACAUGGAUGAAGCUGGAAACCGUCAUUCUCAGCAAACUAACAUAAGAACAGAAAACCAAACACCACAUGUCCUCACUCAUAAGUGGGAGUUGAACAAUGAGAAUACAUGGACACGGGCAGUGACCUGAGAAGCUACGUAUUGACACGGCGCUACCACGGGUGGAGGAGCCUGCAUUGCUGAAUCACAGGAUGAAGGCGAAUCCCUGCCAGCCUCCAUCCAUCUCUGGGGUGCUUAGCAGAAUCCUCAGCUCACAAGAUGAAUAAAUGCAGACUAAAUGAUGCACAAAUAAUCUUCACACACAACCAUCAACACAUGGAAAGACUGCAGGACGGCCAGAUCCCAAGCUAACAAACAGGGGAAGAUGAUGUUUCAAAUGAUCAUCUGAAUGCUGGGUUUCCACCUUCCACCAGGAAGUCAUAUGGUCAAAUUAUCCCGGAUCCUGAAAUAUAUCUUUUGAUAGAAAUGACUCUGGUACUUUCCGCAACUUACUUUCUAUGGAGCACUUUCCUGAAACAAGAUUUGUGUUUAAAUAUUCCUCCUUCUACAAAGUAUUAAACAGUAGUAAGUUCUGCAACGUUGACAAUGGAAACCUGGCAAUGUGCCCUUGUUUGACUAUUAAGGAAUUGCUUCCAAGUACCACAGGGCCUUGAAGACCAAAAUAACACAAUUACCUGGAAGGUGAACAAUGGCAACUUAUCAGAAAAAGAAAAAAAAUGGCAUUAUGAUACAAACAGAAAAUGUAACAGUGGAGUGCAGAAAAUACAAAAAAAAGGAAAAAAUAAAUAGAAAAUCUUCAAAGAGGCAAUCUGUUUAAAUCUUCAAGAACUGGAAACAGUAAAAGUGAACAGGUUUUUAUUGAGCAUGUCAAUAAAAUGUUUGCAUAAG